GCGCCUGUGGCUCAACUGGAUAGAGCAUCUGACUUCGGAUCAGAGGGUUGGGGGUUCGAGUCCCUCCGGGCGUG
This 74-nucleotide transfer RNA is filed under the name Acidimicrobiia bacterium. RNAcentral describes it as "tRNA-Arg". It matches the Rfam family "tRNA". From Rfam's summary of the family: Transfer RNA (tRNA) molecules are approximately 80 nucleotides in length. Their secondary structure includes four short double-helical elements and three loops (D, anti-codon, and T loops). Further hydrogen bonds mediate the characteristic L-shaped molecular structure. tRNAs have two regions of fundamental functional importance: the anti-codon, which is responsible for specific mRNA codon recognition, and the 3' end, to which the tRNAs corresponding amino acid is attached (by aminoacyl-tRNA synthetases). tRNAs cope with the degeneracy of the genetic code in two manners: having more than one tRNA (with a specific anti-codon) for a particular amino acid; and 'wobble' base-pairing, i.e. permitting non-standard base-pairing at the 3rd anti-codon position. Lineage: Bacteria; Bacillati; Actinomycetota; Acidimicrobiia. The record is from RNAcentral.